This 497-nucleotide ribosomal RNA is filed under the name uncultured bacterium. Its description in RNAcentral is "partial 16S ribosomal RNA". It matches the Rfam family "Bacterial small subunit ribosomal RNA", at positions 28 to 507 of the family's 1533-position model. The record is from RNAcentral.
GAUGAACGCUGGCGGCGUGCCUAAUACAUGCAAGUCGAGCGAACAGACGAGGAGCUUGCUCCUCUGACGUUAGCGGCGGACGGGUGAGUAACACGUGGAUAACCUACCUCUAAGACUGGGAUAACUUCGGGAAACCGGAGCUAAUACCGGAUAAUAUAUUGAACCGCAUGGUUCAAUAGUUAAAGACGGUUUUGCUGUCACUUAUAGAUGGAUCCGCGCCGCAUUAGCUAGUUGGUAAGGUAACGGCUUACCAAGGCAACGAUGCGUAGCCGACCUGAGAGGGUGAUCGGCCACACUGGAACUGAGACACGGUCCAGACUCCUACGGGAGGCAGCAGUAGGGAAUCUUCCGCAAUGGGCGAAAGCUUGACGGAGCAACGCCGCGUGAGUGAUGAAGGUCUUCGGAUCGUAAAACUCUGUUAUUAGGGAAGAACAAAUGUGUAAGUAACUAUGCACGUCUUGACGGUACCUAAUCAGAAAGCCACGGCUAACUACGUG